This 484-nucleotide ribosomal RNA is filed under the name uncultured bacterium. RNAcentral describes it as "partial 16S ribosomal RNA". It matches the Rfam family "Bacterial small subunit ribosomal RNA", at positions 30 to 507 of the family's 1533-position model. The record is from RNAcentral.
AUUGAACGCUGGCGGCAGGCCUAACACAUGCAAGUCGAGCGGAUGAAGGGAGCUUGCUCCUGGAUUCAGCGGCGGACGGGUGAGUAAUGCCUAGGAAUCUGCCUGGUAGUGGGGGAUAACGUCCGGAAACGGGCGCUAAUACCGCAUACGUCCUGAGGGAGAAAGUGGGGGAUCUUCGGACCUCACGCUAUCAGAUGAGCCUAGGUCGGAUUAGCUAGUUGGUGGGGUAAAGGCCUACAAAGGCGACGAUCCGUAACUGGUCUGAGAGGAUGAUCAGUCACACUGGAACUGAGACACGGUCCAGACUCCUACGGGAGGCAGCAGUGGGGAAUAUUGGACAAUGGGCGAAAGCCUGAUCCAGCCAUGCCGCGUGUGUGAAGAAGGUCUUCGGAUUGUAAAGCACUUUAAGUUGGGAGGAAGGGCAGUAAGUUAAUACCUUGCUGUUUUGACGUUACCAACAGAAUAAGCACCGGCUAACUUCGUG